GAUGAACGCUGGCGGCGUGCCUAAUACAUGCAAGUCGAGCGAACGGACGAGAAGCUUGCUUCUCUGAUGUUAGCGGCGGACGGGUGAGUAACACGUGGAUAACCUACCUAUAAGACUGGGAUAACUUCGGGAAACCGGAGCUAAUACCGGAUAAUAUUUUGAACCGCAUGGUUCAAAAGUGAAAGACGGUCUUGCUGUCACUUAUAGAUGGAUCCGCGCUGCAUUAGCUAGUUGGUAAGGUAACGGCUUACCAAGGCAACGAUGCAUAGCCGACCUGAGAGGGUGAUCGGCCCCCCUGGACCUGGCACCCGGCCCCGCCUCCUCCGGGAGGCAGCUGUGGGGACUCUUCCGCACGGGGCGAAACCCUGACGGAGCAACCCCGCGUGGGUGAUGAAGGUCUUCGGUUUGUAAACCCCUUUUUUUUGGGAAAAACAUUGUUUUAAGUAACUUUGCCCCUUUUGCCGGUCCCUAAUCAGAAAGCCCCGCCUACCUCCGU
Molecule: ribosomal RNA, 496 nt
Filed under: uncultured bacterium
Lineage: Bacteria
Description: partial 16S ribosomal RNA
Rfam family: Bacterial small subunit ribosomal RNA
Source: RNAcentral